Molecule: ribosomal RNA, 400 nt
Filed under: uncultured bacterium
Lineage: Bacteria
Description: bacterial SSU rRNA
Rfam family: Bacterial small subunit ribosomal RNA
Source: RNAcentral
GCAUGCCUUACACAUGCAAGUCGAACGGCAGCACGGGGGCAACCCUGGUGGCGAGUGGCGAACGGGUGAGUAAUACAUCGGAACGUGUCCUGUAGUGGGGGAUAGCCCGGCGAAAGCCGGAUUAAUACCGCAUACGCUCUGCGGAGGAAAGCGGGGGAUCUUCGGACCUCGCGCUACAGGGGCGGCCGAUGGCAGAUUAGCUGGUUGGUGGGGUAAAGGCCUACCAAGGCGACGAUCUGUAGCUGGUCUGAGAGGACGACCAGCCACACUGGGACUGAGACACGGCCCAGACUCCUACGGGAGGCAGCAGUGGGGAAUUUUGGACAAUGGGCGCAAGCCUGAUCCAGCAAUGCCGCGUGUGUGAAGAAGGCCUUCGGGUUGUAAAGCACUUUUGUCCGCA